This 30-nucleotide non-coding RNA is filed under the name Rattus norvegicus (Norway rat). Lineage: Eukaryota; Metazoa; Chordata; Mammalia; Rodentia; Muridae. The record is from RNAcentral.
UAUAUAUGUAUGUAUAUAUAUUGUGCAUGU